UUAAAUUGAAGAGUUUGAUCAUGGCUCAGAUUGAACGCUGGCGGCAGGCCUAACACAUGCAAGUCGAACGGUAACAGGAAACAGCUUGCUGUUUCGCUGACGAGUGGCGGACGGGUGAGUAAUGUCUGGGAAACUGCCUGAUGGAGGGGGAUAACUACUGGAAACGGUAGCUAAUACCGCAUAACGUCGCAAGACCAAAGAGGGGGACCUUCGGGCCUCUUGCCAUCGGAUGUGCCCAGAUGGGAUUAGCUUGUUGGUGGGGUAACGGCUCACCAAGGCGACGAUCCCUAGCUG
RNAcentral lists this ribosomal RNA (294 nucleotides) under Escherichia coli. RNAcentral's name for it is "partial 16S ribosomal RNA". It matches the Rfam family "Bacterial small subunit ribosomal RNA", at positions 1 to 289 of the family's 1533-position model. The record is from RNAcentral. Lineage: Bacteria; Pseudomonadati; Pseudomonadota; Gammaproteobacteria; Enterobacterales; Enterobacteriaceae.